Molecule: transfer RNA, 74 nt
Filed under: Chloroflexota bacterium
Lineage: Bacteria; Bacillati; Chloroflexota
Also listed under: 1 other name
Description: tRNA-Gln
Rfam family: tRNA
About the family: Transfer RNA (tRNA) molecules are approximately 80 nucleotides in length. Their secondary structure includes four short double-helical elements and three loops (D, anti-codon, and T loops).
Source: RNAcentral
UGCCGGGUGGUGUAAAGGUAGCACAGGGGACUUUGAAUCCCCUGGUCUGGGUUCGAAUCCCAGCCUGGCAUCCA